Molecule: ribosomal RNA, 2902 nt
Filed under: Escherichia coli
Lineage: Bacteria; Pseudomonadati; Pseudomonadota; Gammaproteobacteria; Enterobacterales; Enterobacteriaceae
Description: bacterial LSU rRNA
Rfam family: Bacterial large subunit ribosomal RNA
Source: RNAcentral
UUAAGCGACUAAGCGUACACGGUGGAUGCCCUGGCAGUCAGAGGCGAUGAAGGACGUGCUAAUCUGCGAUAAGCGUCGGUAAGGUGAUAUGAACCGUUAUAACCGGCGAUUUCCGAAUGGGGAAACCCAGUGUGAUUCGUCACACUAUCAUUAACUGAAUCCAUAGGUUAAUGAGGCGAACCGGGGGAACUGAAACAUCUAAGUACCCCGAGGAAAAGAAAUCAACCGAGAUUCCCCCAGUAGCGGCGAGCGAACGGGGAGCAGCCCAGAGCCUGAAUCAGUGUGUGUGUUAGUGGAAGCGUCUGGAAAGGCGCGCGAUACAGGGUGACAGCCCCGUACACAAAAAUGCACAUGCUGUGAGCUCGAUGAGUAGGGCGGGACACGUGGUAUCCUGUCUGAAUAUGGGGGGACCAUCCUCCAAGGCUAAAUACUCCUGACUGACCGAUAGUGAACCAGUACCGUGAGGGAAAGGCGAAAAGAACCCCGGCGAGGGGAGUGAAAAAGAACCUGAAACCGUGUACGUACAAGCAGUGGGAGCACGCUUCGGCGUGUGACUGCGUACCUUUUGUAUAAUGGGUCAGCGACUUAUAUUCUGUAGCAAGGUUAACCGAAUAGGGGAGCCGAAGGGAAACCGAGUCUUAACUGGGCGUUAAGUUGCAGGGUAUAGACCCGAAACCCGGUGAUCUAGCCAUGGGCAGGUUGAAGGUUGGGUAACACUAACUGGAGGACCGAACCGACUAAUGUUGAAAAAUUAGCGGAUGACUUGUGGCUGGGGGUGAAAGGCCAAUCAAACCGGGAGAUAGCUGGUUCUCCCCGAAAGCUAUUUAGGUAGCGCCUCGUGAAUUCAUCUCCGGGGGUAGAGCACUGUUUCGGCAAGGGGGUCAUCCCGACUUACCAACCCGAUGCAAACUGCGAAUACCGGAGAAUGUUAUCACGGGAGACACACGGCGGGUGCUAACGUCCGUCGUGAAGAGGGAAACAACCCAGACCGCCAGCUAAGGUCCCAAAGUCAUGGUUAAGUGGGAAACGAUGUGGGAAGGCCCAGACAGCCAGGAUGUUGGCUUAGAAGCAGCCAUCAUUUAAAGAAAGCGUAAUAGCUCACUGGUCGAGUCGGCCUGCGCGGAAGAUGUAACGGGGCUAAACCAUGCACCGAAGCUGCGGCAGCGACGCUUAUGCGUUGUUGGGUAGGGGAGCGUUCUGUAAGCCUGUGAAGGUGUGCUGUGAGGCAUGCUGGAGGUAUCAGAAGUGCGAAUGCUGACAUAAGUAACGAUAAAGCGGGUGAAAAGCCCGCUCGCCGGAAGACCAAGGGUUCCUGUCCAACGUUAAUCGGGGCAGGGUGAGUCGACCCCUAAGGCGAGGCCGAAAGGCGUAGUCGAUGGGAAACAGGUUAAUAUUCCUGUACUUGGUGUUACUGCGAAGGGGGGACGGAGAAGGCUAUGUUGGCCGGGCGACGGUUGUCCCGGUUUAAGCGUGUAGGCUGGUUUUCCAGGCAAAUCCGGAAAACUAAGGCUGAGGCGUGAUGACGAGGCACUACGGUGCUGAAGCAACAAAUGCCCUGCUUCCAGGAAAAGCCUCUAAGCAUCAGGUAACAUCAAAUCGUACCCCAAACCGACACAGGUGGUCAGGUAGAGAAUACCAAGGCGCUUGAGAGAACUCGGGUGAAGGAACUAGGCAAAAUGGUGCCGUAACUUCGGGAGAAGGCACGCUGAUAUGUAGGUGAGGUCCCUCGCGGAUGGAGCUGAAAUCAGUCGAAGAUACCAGCUGGCUGCAACUGUUUAUUAAAAACACAGCACUGUGCAAACACGAAAGUGGACGUAUACGGUGUGACGCCUGCCCGGUGCCGGAAGGUUAAUUGAUGGGGUCAGCGCAAGCGAAGCUCUUGAUCGAAGCCCCGGUAAACGGCGGCCGUAACUAUAACGGUCCUAAGGUAGCGAAAUUCCUUGUCGGGUAAGUUCCGACCUGCACGAAUGGCGUAAUGAUGGCCAGGCUGUCUCCACCCGAGACUCAGUGAAAUUGAACUCGCUGUGAAGAUGCAGUGUACCCGCGGCAAGACGGAAAGACCCCGUGAACCUUUACUAUAGCUUGACACUGAACAUUGAGCCUUGAUGUGUAGGAUAGGUGGGAGGCUUAGAAGUGUGGACGCCAGUCUGCAUGGAGCCGACCUUGAAAUACCACCCUUUAAUGUUUGAUGUUCUAACGUUGACCCGUAAUCCGGGUUGCGGACAGUGUCUGGUGGGUAGUUUGACUGGGGCGGUCUCCUCCUAAAGAGUAACGGAGGAGCACGAAGGUUGGCUAAUCCUGGUCGGACAUCAGGAGGUUAGUGCAAUGGCAUAAGCCAGCUUGACUGCGAGCGUGACGGCGCGAGCAGGUGCGAAAGCAGGUCAUAGUGAUCCGGUGGUUCUGAAUGGAAGGGCCAUCGCUCAACGGAUAAAAGGUACUCCGGGGAUAACAGGCUGAUACCGCCCAAGAGUUCAUAUCGACGGCGGUGUUUGGCACCUCGAUGUCGGCUCAUCACAUCCUGGGGCUGAAGUAGGUCCCAAGGGUAUGGCUGUUCGCCAUUUAAAGUGGUACGCGAGCUGGGUUUAGAACGUCGUGAGACAGUUCGGUCCCUAUCUGCCGUGGGCGCUGGAGAACUGAGGGGGGCUGCUCCUAGUACGAGAGGACCGGAGUGGACGCAUCACUGGUGUUCGGGUUGUCAUGCCAAUGGCACUGCCCGGUAGCUAAAUGCGGAAGAGAUAAGUGCUGAAAGCAUCUAAGCACGAAACUUGCCCCGAGAUGAGUUCUCCCUGACUCCUUGAGAGUCCUGAAGGAACGUUGAAGACGACGACGUUGAUAGGCCGGGUGUGUAAGCGCAGCGAUGCGUUGAGCUAACCGGUACUAAUGAACCGUGAGGCUUAACCUU